RNAcentral lists this unclassified non-coding RNA (404 nucleotides) under soil metagenome. RNAcentral's name for it is "partial contains 5.8S ribosomal RNA, internal transcribed spacer 2, and large subunit ribosomal RNA". The stretch from base 1 to 119 matches the Rfam family "5.8S ribosomal RNA", at positions 37 to 154 of the family's 154-position model. The record is from RNAcentral.
UGAAGAACGCAGCGAAAUGCGAUAAGUAAUGUGAAUUGCAGAAUUCAGUGAAUCAUCGAAUCUUUGAACGCACCUUGCGCCCUUUGGCCAUUCCGAAGGGCAUGCCUGUUUGAGUAUCAUGAACACCUCAACUCUUCAUGGUUUUCCGUGAUGAGCUUGGACUUUGGGGGUCUUGCUGGCCUAUGGUCAGCUCCUCUAAAAUAAAUCAGCUUGCCAGUGUUUGGUGGGUAUCACAGGUGUGAUAACUAUCUACGCUUGUGGUUUUCCACCAGGUAACCUUCAGCAGUGGAGGUUCGCUGGAGCUCACAGAUGUGUCUCUCCUCAGUGAGGACAGCUCUUUGAAUGUUUGAUCUCAAAUCAGGUAGGACUACCCGCUGAACUUAAGCAUAUCAAUAAGCGGAGGA